UCCGUAGGUGAACCCUGCGGAAGGAUCAUUAACGAGUUUUGAAAUGCGGGAUCGUCUGUUGCUGGUGCAUAUAUAUAUAUAUGCGCAUGUGCACGGCACCCGUACUCAAUCCACUCAACCCCUGUGCACUUUAUGGGAGUUAGUAGUCGAUGGUUUGUUCCAUUAUGUCAAUAAAAUGUUAGUAGUCGAAAGGCGAACACAUUUGACGGACGGAGUGAUUGUCGGCGAACACUUCAAUAUUAUUACAAACCCAUUCUAUUGUCAUGUUGAAUGUAUAGCUCCUUGUGGGCGAAAUAAAAUACAACUUUCAACAACGGAUCUCUUGGCUCUCGCAUCGAUGAAGAACGCAGCGAAAUGCGAUAAGUAAUGUGAAUUGCAGAAUUCAGUGAAUCAUCGAAUCUUUGAACGCACCUUGCGCCCCUUGGUAUUCCGAGGGGCAUGCCUGUUUGAGUGUCAUGUUCAUCUCAACUUCCUUGUUUUUCUUUUUAAGACUUGGAUGUUGGACUUGGAGGUAUUAUUUGCUGGCCCCUCUUAACCGUGGUCGGCUCCUCUUAAAUGUAUUAGCCGGGCUUUGGCUCGCGUUGACGGUGUAAUAGUAAACUUAACAUAUUCACCUUUGCGCUUGCCUAGAAGGUCUGCUUCUAACUGUCCCUUUUGUUGGACAAGACAAGACAAUGUCUUCUUGACUCCUUGACCUCAAAUCAGGUAGGACUACCCGCUGAACUUAAGCAUAUCAAUAAGCGGAGGAAA
This 750-nucleotide ribosomal RNA is filed under the name Phellinus ellipsoideus. RNAcentral describes it as "eukaryotic LSU rRNA". The stretch from base 303 to 456 matches the Rfam family "5.8S ribosomal RNA". Lineage: Eukaryota; Fungi; Basidiomycota; Agaricomycetes; Hymenochaetales; Hymenochaetaceae. The record is from RNAcentral.